GAACCUUACCAGGUCUUGACAUCCCGCUGACCGGACCUUAACCGGUCCUUCCCUUCGGGGCAGCGGAGACAGGUGGUGCAUGGUUGUCGUCAGCUCGUGUCGUGAGAUGUUGGGUUAAGUCCCGCAACGAGCGCAACCCUUAUUGCCAGUUGCUUCCGGGUCAUGCCGGGCACUCUGGCGAAACUGCCUCGGAUAACGAGGAGGAAGGUGGGGAUGACGUCAAGUCCUCAUGGCCUUUAUGUCCAGGGCUACACACGUGCUACAAUGGUCGAUACAAACCGUCGCAAACUCGCGAGGGUGAGCUAAUCGGAGAAAGUCGACCUCAGUUCGGAUUGGAGUCUGCAACUCGACUCCAUGAAGCUGGAAUCGCUAGUAAUCGCGGAUCAGAACGCUGCGGUGAAUA
This 403-nucleotide ribosomal RNA is filed under the name uncultured bacterium RSD13. RNAcentral's name for it is "bacterial SSU rRNA". It matches the Rfam family "Bacterial small subunit ribosomal RNA", at positions 966 to 1368 of the family's 1533-position model. The record is from RNAcentral.